UGAGGAGCUUGCUCUUCAAAUCGAGUGGCGAACGGGUGAGUAACGCGUGAGGAACCUGCCUCAAAGAGGGGGACAACAGUUGGAAACGACUGCUAAUACCGCAUAAGCCCACGGCUCGGCAUCGAGCAGAGGGAAAAGGAGCAAUCCGCUUUGAGAUGGCCUCGCGUCCGAUUAGCUAGUUGGUGAGGUAACGGCCCACCAAGGCGACGAUCGGUAGCCGGACUGAGAGGUUGAACGGCCACACUGGAACUGAGACACGGUCCAGACUCC
This 270-nucleotide ribosomal RNA is filed under the name uncultured Faecalibacterium sp. Its description in RNAcentral is "partial 16S ribosomal RNA". It matches the Rfam family "Bacterial small subunit ribosomal RNA", at positions 72 to 339 of the family's 1533-position model. Lineage: Bacteria; Bacillati; Bacillota; Clostridia; Eubacteriales; Oscillospiraceae. The record is from RNAcentral.